RNAcentral lists this long non-coding RNA (1194 nucleotides) under Cricetulus griseus (Chinese hamster). RNAcentral's name for it is "lncRNA (ENSCGRG00015043180.1)". The record is from RNAcentral. Lineage: Eukaryota; Metazoa; Chordata; Mammalia; Rodentia; Cricetidae.
AAAAAAAGUACAGUGUCAAGCACAGAGACCCCUGGGUGGCAUUGGCCAAUCUAUUUAACCCUCUUGAGUACAAAGAAGUGUAAGCCAAGAGAAGUUACUGGAACCUAGAAGGAAAGCUACAUAUAACAAACGUUGUGUCAAGGCACACAAGAACCUUCCAUACCUCUCAGAGGAUAUCAAGGAAUUAAUAACCGGAUCUCACUCCCUUUCCCACCCUACCCUGAGAGAUUGAUAAUGGUGCAAGCCCAGAAGUCUGGCCAAAGCUUGAGGGGUGAGGAAAAUGGAACUGAAGGUGUAAACCCCUUCCUCAAUCAUUGGCUCUGAUCACAUUUUUAUAAACUUCCACUGCUAGUCUGUCACGGGUGGUCAGUGUAGAAAACACAAAGUAAGGGGAAUUAUGUGUUGAUAAUCCUGACAAAACCACCUUACCUGGCCUGUUCCUGGGUUUUCUUACCAUAACCUUGACAUUGAUCAUCCAACCUGGAAUCAGUCCGGCAGCAUGAUAGGUAAACGGUAAUUCUUCAAGUCCUACAAACAAGAUGAGAUGGCUUAGUGGGUAAAGGUGCUUGCCGCCACAACGACACCUGAAGUUCCAUCCCAGGGACUCACGUGGUAGAAGAAGAGAACCAACUCCUACAAGUUGUCCCCUGACCUCCAUGUGUAAAAAGAAAACAUGAAAUGAAGAAAAUUAGAGGCUCAUCUUACAGAUAGAAAAAUCUAAAUCAGCUGUUAUCCAGCUAGAACUACAGUGGUUUUCUCUUUUUAGUGCUGUGAUAAAACAGUCACCAGAAGCAACUUGAGGAAAGGGUUUAUUUCUGCUUACAGUUUAUGAAGGGAAGUCAGGCCAGAAACCUGGAACCAGGAACUGAAGCAGGGGGUGUGGACAAACACUACUGACUGGCUUAAUCUGUGUGGCUUGCCCAGUUUGCUUUCUUAUAUAUGCCAGGACCACCUACCCAGGGUGGCACCACACAUAGUGAGCUGGGUCCUCUCACACCAGUCAUUAAUCAAGAAAAUGACCCAUAAACUUGCCUAUAGGACAGUUUGAAGUUUCUUCUCAGAUGACUCUAGCUCAUGCCAGAGAGUGAAUACAAGCAAAUGUGAAGCUAUAGCUGUGGAGCACAGGAUUCUACGUGGGGUAGGAAGACUGGUUUGUGACAGAGCAAACAUUUGGAGCUGUCGAUCUGAGAUCAG